RNAcentral lists this ribosomal RNA (1363 nucleotides) under uncultured bacterium. RNAcentral describes it as "16S ribosomal RNA". It matches the Rfam family "Bacterial small subunit ribosomal RNA", at positions 28 to 1392 of the family's 1533-position model. The record is from RNAcentral.
GUUGAACGCUGGCGGCGUGCCUAACACAUGCAAGUCGAGCGAAGCACUUUGCUUAGAUUCUUCGGAUGAAGAGGAUUGUGACUGAGCGGCGGACGGGUGAGUAACGCGUGGGUAACCUGCCUCAUACAGGGGGAUAACAGUUAGAAAUGACUGCUAAUACCGCAUAAGACCACAGCACCGCAUGGUGCGGGGGUAAAAACUCCGGUGGUAUGAGAUGGACCCGCGUCUGAUUAGCUAGUUGGUAAGGUAACGGCUUACCAAGGCGACGAUCAGUAGCCGACCUGAGAGGGUGACCGGCCACAUUGGGACUGAGACACGGCCCAAACUCCUACGGGAGGCAGCAGUGGGGAAUAUUGCACAAUGGGGGAAACCCUGAUGCAGCGACGCCGCGUGAGCGAAGAAGUAUUUCGGUAUGUAAAGCUCUAUCAGCAGGGAAGAAAAUGACGGUACCUGACUAAGAAGCACCGGCUAAAUACGUGCCAGCAGCCGCGGUAAUACGUAUGGUGCAAGCGUUAUCCGGAUUUACUGGGUGUAAAGGGAGCGUAGACGGAUGGGCAAGUCUGAUGUGAAAACCCGGGGCUCAACCCCGGGACUGCAUUGGAAACUGUUCAUCUAGAGUGCUGGAGAGGUAAGUGGAAUUCCUAGUGUAGCGGUGAAAUGCGUAGAUAUUAGGAGGAACACCAGUGGCGAAGGCGGCUUACUGGACAGUAACUGACGUUGAGGCUCGAAAGCGUGGGGAGCAAACAGGAUUAAAUACCCUGGUAGUCCACGCCGUAAACGAUGACUACUAGGUGUCGGGUGGCAAAGCCAUUCGGUGCCGCAGCAAACGCAAUAAGUAGUCCACCUGGGGAGUACGUUCGCAAGAAUGAAACUCAAAGGAAUUGACGGGGACCCGCACAAGCGGUGGAGCAUGUGGUUUAAUUCGAAGCAACGCGAAGAACCUUACCUGCUCUUGACAUCCCGCUGACCGGACGGUAAUGCGUCCUUCCCUUCGGGGCAGCGGAGACAGGUGGUGCAUGGUUGUCGUCAGCUCGUGUCGUGAGAUGUUGGGUUAAGUCCCGCAACGAGCGCAACCCCUAUCUUUAGUAGCCAGCGGCCAGGCCGGGCACUCUAGAGAGACUGCCGGGGAUAACCCGGAGGAAGGUGGGGAUGACGUCAAAUCAUCAUGCCCCUUAUGAGCAGGGCUACACACGUGCUACAAUGGCGUAAACAAAGGGAAGCGAGACCGCGAGGUGGAGCAAAUCCCAAAAAUAACGUCUCAGUUCGGAUUGUAGUCUGCAACUCGACUACAUGAAGCUGGAAUCGCUAGUAAUCGCGAAUCAGAAUGUCGCGGUGAAUACGUUCCCGGGUCUUGCACACACCG